This is a long non-coding RNA of Erigeron canadensis, 165 nucleotides long. RefSeq lists it as uncharacterized. The transcript is spliced from 3 exons. The record is from RefSeq and is a predicted model, not a curated record. Lineage: Eukaryota; Viridiplantae; Streptophyta; Magnoliopsida; Asterales; Asteraceae.
GCUUGUAUUUGUGCAUUGACAUUAUAUCGAGUUGUUGUUCGAGUCGUGGAGGAGGCGGUUCCUGAAGAAGGAACUAAGAUUGUGGAUUGAAGCUUGAAGUCUUAGAAGUUACUUUUGGAAGAUUUGAAGGGAAUGGUAAGGGAAAGUUUGAAUAUGAGUUGAAAU